UUUAAAAAAAUUUAGAAAAAAAUAAUAUUUUUUUUAUUUUGCGGGUCGGCGGGUACCCGCGACUCAAAUUUGGUUGACCCGCACCCGCUCCGCUAAAAAUCGACUCAACCCGCACCUACACCCGCAUGCUGAAAUUUGUAAAUCGAUCGACCCGCACCCGUUCCGCGGCGGAUCAAACAGGACGGGACCCGCGGGUAAUGACCCAAAUUCCCAGCUCUAAAUAAAAUGAACCUUUUUUGUUUCCUGUGAAAGUUGUUUUACUUCACCCGGAAUUUUCCAGUCUACCUAGGCCAAACUAUAAGAGCAUCUACAAAUCUAUUUUUAAAACAAAAGAAAUAUAUAUAUUUCAUUAUAAAAUAGAGUUUCCGGUAACUUCUCUAUAAAUAGAAUAAUAUAUUAUUUUAGUUUUCCUUUUUAUUUUAAAUUAGUGUAGAACUAAAGUAAAAUUUAACUACAUUAUGAAAUUAUUUUAAUUUUGAGAAGAAAAUGGAGAAGUAUUAAACAAGGGAAAUUAGCAUGAAAAAAAUAAUAAUUCACCAAAUAAACAUUUUGCUAGAAUAUGCAAUACAUUUUUAUGUAAUAUUAUUUCACAUAUUCCUAAGCAAUCUGAACCUUUGAUUCAAUUUUUUUUCUUUUAUGUCUCUUUUCUUCUUUUCCCCUCCCAUUUAUUUUGGAAACAAUUACACUUAUACACACUUUUUGACUUUGUAAUUUUACAAUAAGACACUUUUUUACUUUAGACACAUUUUCUCAUUGUUCAAAGACCAAAAUACUCUGUAAGAAACAAACUCACUCUCGUUACGCUCUCCGACCAAAGCAUUUUGAAUAGUCAAUAUUUCAAAAAUAAAAAACAAACCCCGAGAAAGUCACUUUCCCAAUUCACAAACCCUGAUUCCAAUUGAAUCUCAAUCUCACUCCUAAAAUCUUUCAGUUCCGAAGGUUAAAAAGAUUUAAUAACUUAAUCAGUGAUUAGAAGAUGAAACCUUUAGUGAUUUGGAGUGGUUUCGAUGGCGACGGCGGCGGAGACUGUGAGAGUAAAGGUGGAAACGAGAAUAGUGGUAAUGGAGGCGAAGGAGAGAGAGAGAGAGAGAGGUGAUGUUGGAGAAGAUGAAGCUGAUAAAUCUGAGGAUAAAGAGUUUGGCCGUUACUAUUGUGAGACUGGUAGAUCAAUGACGGCGGCGUAUCUUUGCUCGAGAUGAAUAAAGCGUGGAUGGGUCUUCAGGUAGCACCUGAAGAGUCAAUGAAGAACAAGAUUCAUGAGUUUACAAAUUCUCUACUUAUUUUGUAUUUGCGGCGUUUCUUAAUGCUGUGGCUUUGUUCUGUGUUUUGAUAAACUUAAUGUUUUAAAUUGUGGUUUAUAUGGUUGGAUGCAUAUGUUAGGAUUGAAGCUUCUGGCUCCUGUUAAGCCGUGAGUCUACAUCUAAGGAGGUUACGUAUGUACAAGUCUCUUAUCCUCCAAGGUUGGACUGGUUACGAAGAAGUCGGUGGUGGAAGACGUGAAGGUGGGUACCACAGUGGAGGAGGUUGCGGUGAAGAUUGAGGCCGUGGUGGAGAUGGUGGUGGAUACCACAGUGGAGGUGGUUGCAGUGUAGGUCGUGGUGGAAGUGGUGAUGGUGGUGGAGGUGGACGAAGAGCUUGCCGUUGAAGUGGAGGUGGAGAUGGUGGUGGUUGCGGUGGAGGUGGUGGUGGUUGUGCAGUUGGUGGUGGUUAUGGAGAAAGCGGUGGUAGAAGACGUGAAGGUGGAUACCGUGAAAGUGGUGGCGCUCGUGGAGGUGGAGGAGGAGGUGGCUGUUGCGGUGGAGGUGGUGGCUGUUGCGGUGGAGGUGGUGGCGGUGUCGCAGCUGGUGGAUACCGCAGCGGAGAAAGUGGUGGUUGUGAAGAAGGUGGUGGUUACGGGAAAGGCGGUGGUGGAUAUAAUAUAGGUGGUUGCGGUGGAGAUUGUGGUGGAGAUGAUUGUUGCAUAGAAGGUGGUGGUGCAAUGUACGUGAAGGUAGAUACAUAGUGAUGGUGGAGGUGGUGGUGUAUACGGUAGAAAUGGAAGGCAGGAGGGUGGGAAAUACGUAGGCCAUGGUGGAGAAGAAACCAAUAAAAUAUAAAAACUAAAAAUUACUACCUCCAUUCCUGAAAAUAAGAUGUUUUAGAUUUUUUUGAGAACAUUAAUUGAGAAUAUUUGAAUUGAUUAAAUUUCAUUGGUGGAAAGUUA
Molecule: long non-coding RNA, 2203 nt
Organism: Brassica napus (rape)
Lineage: Eukaryota; Viridiplantae; Streptophyta; Magnoliopsida; Brassicales; Brassicaceae
Exons: 3
Source: RefSeq, a predicted model, not a curated record